GAAAGAAGUUAGGGAUGAGAAACAACAUAGCUCCAAGUUUAAUACAACUUUGAUGUAUUAUCAAAGGAAACAAAUAUUUAAAAUGUUCUAUUUGUUCUUUCAAUAAAUUCAUGCUAUAUAUACUCCAUGGUUAUGUUGCUGAAAAUGUUCUUAUUCCCCCUCCCACCCCACCUCCUCACUCCCCUUGCCCUUUCCUUUUUAGGAUUUGUUUGGAUGAGGGUCAAGGAGGGGUAAAUAAAUGUAAAGAGGAGUAAAUGAGU
RNAcentral lists this unclassified non-coding RNA (260 nucleotides) under Hevea brasiliensis (rubber tree). Lineage: Eukaryota; Viridiplantae; Streptophyta; Magnoliopsida; Malpighiales; Euphorbiaceae. The record is from RNAcentral.